UGAUAAAGUCCUGUCAGUCCU
This 21-nucleotide microRNA is filed under the name Marchantia polymorpha subsp. ruderalis. Lineage: Eukaryota; Viridiplantae; Streptophyta; Marchantiopsida; Marchantiales; Marchantiaceae. The record is from RNAcentral.